This 1997-nucleotide long non-coding RNA is filed under the name Equus asinus (donkey). Its description in RNAcentral is "lncRNA (ENSEASG00005031415.1)". The record is from RNAcentral. Lineage: Eukaryota; Metazoa; Chordata; Mammalia; Perissodactyla; Equidae.
GAGACCGAGGCCCAUCAGCGUUCUGAGCCUGCCCCACCAGGAUUUCUCCUGUAUCAGCUCUUUCUGACUCACCCACUGGGUUCUGUUCCAAGAAGAUGAUUUCCCUACAUCUGGGUUCUGCUUUUUAGCCAUGCCUGUAAUUUCUGUUCUCAGUUCCAUGCAAUUACCACAAUUGAUCUGUGCCUUUCUAGACAGGGAUUUCAAUAGGAAAGAGGCCGCUGACACAGAAUACAUCAACGAUAGGCCAGACGUAAUUGAAAAACAAGAAGAGAAGUUUAGAGACAAGAUUGAACGUCAGUCCCCACCCUCCCCCAGCAACCCCGCCAACGCCAGUGUUACCAUCUACUUUGCCUCCGUCACAUUUGAAUAAGUGCAGAAGGUCACAGAUGAUGUGCUGAAGUGCUAUUUUUAACAUUUCUAAAUGGGUGCCACAGAUUGUAUGCAUUAGAAAAUAGACUACACAAUGAUUCUCUUCUGGAAGGUUCUCUUCUGCUUUAAAAAUAGAUCCACUUCUCUGAGGGCAUCAUCACUGCAGGCUGAUAUAUUCUGAAAUUUAACUUGACGUUUUUUAACCUCUAGUAGAUAGUGAAAUGAUAGAUUUUCAAGCUUUGAACUUGUGCUGUUUGUAGAUGAAACCCAUCUGAAAUAUUCUAAUGUAACGUACAUUUCAUUGGGUUUAGCUACCCGCAAAUGAUGCAGGAAUGUCCCCAGGUAAUUUCCAGUUUACCCAGUGGUACCUUCCAAAUGCUUACAUAUAGUCAAUUACUAAACGAUAUCGGCCAUUUCUACAGUUUCAUUUCCCCUGUGCUGGCUCUGUCUACUGCCCCAUCAUCUCCACUGCCCAGCUUUCCUUAGGCCCACUCCUGCCCUGCUCCCUGCUGCUGAUGCUGCUGUUUCUCUGAGACCCCCACUUCUCCCAUCUUGGCCAGGACCCCUGCCUCUGCACCCUCCUCCAUGGUACCUGUAUGGCCCCCGCCUCCCAGAAUUCUGCAGUUAAAGGAUCUAUAACCUCUUUUCAGAUGAAUCAGUGCGGACAGUGGAAUGGCAUUAACUUUUUCUUCCCCUCAGGGCUGUUAGUUACCUUGUGAAGCUCCCUAAUCAGGAAUAUGCUCUCUGUAUCCACUGGGGCUUCUUCACCCUGAGUCCGUUGACCUCGCAGCAGGCUAAGGCUGGAACUCAGGAAGUCUAUCAGUUUGGAGGGGAAAAAAACUACAUCUUCAUUUUCACUAUCCUCAGACCGAAAAUCUGCGUUUCCCUCCAUUAUGAAAGUAGGCAGCAAACACAAUAGGAGCAGCAAAUCAAUGAUUCCGCCAGAGCAGAAACCUUUGGUAUUGUUGUUGAGGGGACCAUUGUCGCAGGUACCUGCAAACAGUGUUUAUACUCACCAUUACUUUAAAAUCACAAUAAUUAUCAGACCUGCCACUAGAUGUUGUUAUUUAAAGUGUUAAUAAGGAAGCACACGUAUUACUGUAGCACAAGUUUUUUAAAAAAUAUUUUCAGAACUGUAUUUCAAUAUAAUUGGUUUCCUUCACAAUUUUAUGUAUUUUAUUUUAUUCAUUUAAGAGCAUUUUUUUCUGAGAAGGAGUCUGUGGCCUUCCCAGACCUCCAAAGGGGUCCAUGGCACAAAAUGUUCCAGAGACUCUGCCUAGGAGGUUAAUUAACAUAAGGGCUGUUAGAAAUUACUUUUCUCCCAUGUAAUCAGAGCUGUUCCUGUUAGGAGACUUGCUCUUGCAUUACUGGGGCACAAGAAUCAGAAGACCCGGCAGUCUAAUACUUGCCAACUAGACCAAGGUCUUGGACCCCCCUUGGUCUUCCUUUUACAAAGGACAUUAUCGCCUGGCUCAACCAGAAGCCUGGCUGGUCCUGUAGCCAGGACAUUGCCAUGUUGGCUUUGGAAUGACCCUUUCUGGCAAGAUGUGCGUCAUAGGUCAAAUUGUCUCCUCCACAAUAAUAUGAUGAAGUCCUCACCCCUGGUACCUGUGAAUGUGACCUUUUUG